RNAcentral lists this ribosomal RNA (228 nucleotides) under uncultured bacterium. RNAcentral's name for it is "partial 16S ribosomal RNA". It matches the Rfam family "Bacterial small subunit ribosomal RNA", at positions 104 to 334 of the family's 1533-position model. The record is from RNAcentral.
CGGGGUGAGUAAUGUCUGGGAAACUGCCUGAUGGAGGGGGAUAACUACUGGAAACGGUAGCUAAUACCGCAUAACGUCUUCGGACCAAAGUGGGGGACCUUCGGGCCUCACGCCAUCGGAUGUGCCCAGAUGGGAUUAGCUAGUAGGUGGGGUAAUGGCUCACCUAGGCGACGAUCCCUAGCUGGUCUGAGAGGAUGACCAGCCACACUGGAACUGAGCACGGUCCAG